GUAAAUCUUAAGUAACCCCAGUGUCACCUGGUGCAAAAGCGAGCAGCGUUUGGCCAGCAAAUCAAUAUUAAGGACAUAUUUCCUCUCUCUUAUCUGCCUUCUUCUCUUUGUUCUCUACCAUCCCAUCUCAGCCUUGAUCGCUUUCAUUAUAAGGUUGAAGGGCAGUGCUGAGUGAGUCCAUUAAUCUCAUGCAUUUUCAUGAAUAUCAAUUACCACUUGGGUUCCAGCAGAUUUUUCUUUCCUUCAGCAGAGUUAAGACCAAAUUCUUUACCCAGACCCUGUGUUAGGUAAGACCUGGAGGCGUUAUUCUAAAGCCAACUUGCCAGUUUUUCCCACUCUUUCCCACCACACUGAUGGCUCUUUGUUUUUCUCCUGUUCUAUCUGUAUAUAUAGUGGUUAUCAGGAAGAGACAUUUCCCUCUCUGCUCUUGAAAAGCGAUAUCUACACAAACUGUUGGGCAGAAUUUGGAGUGCAGAAUCUGCUGUUCGAUUACCAUGGAGUUAAGCUCUCUCAUGUGUGACUAGGUAUUGUAUUUUUUUUCCCCAGCAAGAUCGAAGUUUAAAAGGACAGAAGAAUUUCCAUUGCUUGAGAUGGAAGAAAAUGUCUGGUGUUGAAACUUGCAGCAUUUAUGGACUGCUGGGAAAUAGGACUAUUUUGGAGGACCUUGCUGUCUUCUAUGCCCCAGGAUGUUUCUGACCGGCUCCAACCCAUGGAUCACCCAGCACCUGAAUCUUGGUCUGCCUUCUCGAAGAUCCAUAGUGACAAACCCUAAAGCAGCUCUGUUCUCAUAGAGACAGAACAUCAUGUUCACUUUCCCCCUGCACAGCAGAGGAAACAACUUUGCCCAUUAUUUACAAGGACAGUCUGGUUCUGUUCCUGCUGAGAGCAGAGCACCAACAUUGAGGUGGGAAGAGACAGAGGUUGUUCCUGGGCCUCACUGCCAACGUGGAGGGGAUUCACACUGCGCAGGGACUGGAGCAGCUCUGGACACAACUUUGAGGUAAGCUUCCCAGGGAGGUCACAGUACUCAGAGUUUGGAAAAAGAGCACAGAGUUUUCAACCUUUUUGUUUGUUUGUUUUUUGGCAGAAAUCUGGUAUGUUUGGGUCCUUGGGAACAGUUUAUUUGAAAUUAAAAUCUUAUCAGCCAAGUACUUUCUGAUAUCCAACUCAUAAAUACAGAUUAGUAGUAUUGGUUUGUUGCAAUGUGUUCCAUAAGCUUUUCAUGACUGCUCAUGAACACACUGAAUUAUAAGCACAGAACAGCCCUGUGGAUUAGAUGCAGCAUUUCUUAGCAUUGUCUGAAGCCUGUUCUCUUAAACAACAUUUGACAGGUGAAUGCAGCAGAGAAAACAUGGUCCUGGUGUGUGCAUUGAAAGCAGAUGCAGCAAUCUGAGCUCAAUGGCUCAGAGGGGGUGGCUGCUGCAAAGCUGUGACACAGAGGGUAAAUAAUGAGGGGCUAUUUCUGCCCUGGUAGGGAAAAAAAAUAAUGUGGGGAUGGGAGAUAGACUUGAAAACAAUCACUUCAAAUGAUUUUGGAACUGUAUGAGCUGGAGAUGUGCUGCAUUUAUACUGAAGGAUGAGCCCAGAAGCUGACCUA
Molecule: long non-coding RNA, 1597 nt
Organism: Phasianus colchicus (ring-necked pheasant)
Lineage: Eukaryota; Metazoa; Chordata; Aves; Galliformes; Phasianidae
Source: Ensembl